UCCGUUCUAACCAGCAUCUCAUCUGUGACAAUCUCGUGCCAGGACGAGAUCUCUUACUGCAGACCCGUCUUGUGAAUCAUGUCAGCAGGUAGUUUGAUAUCUGGCUGGCUGUGUGCUGCAGAGCUGUCAGAUGCUGGUGUCUAAGGGUUACCCAGACAUUGGGUGGAAUCCAGUUGAAGGAGAGAGAUACCUCGACUUUCUCAGAUUUGCUGUCUUCUGUAAAGGAGAGAGUGUAGAAAAGAAUGCAAUAUUGUGGUGAGGUUGCUCAUCCGGAGGCCCGAGUGCUUUGGUCCUGCCUUGAGAGGGGAAGAUGGCAA
Molecule: long non-coding RNA, 317 nt
Organism: Mesocricetus auratus (golden hamster)
Lineage: Eukaryota; Metazoa; Chordata; Mammalia; Rodentia; Cricetidae
Exons: 3
Source: RefSeq, a predicted model, not a curated record